UAUCAAAGAAAGGUUCCACACUGUGAGUUGAAUGCAGACAUCACGAAGAAGGUUCUGAGAAUGCUUCUGUUUAGUUCUGUGCAGUUUAUCCCGUUUCCAACGAAAUGCUCAGAGAGGACCAAAUAUCCACUUGCAGUUUCUACAAAAAGAGUGUUUCAAAGCUGAACUAUCAAAGAAAGGUUCAGCACUGUGAGUUGAAUGCAAACAUCACGAAGAGGGU
RNAcentral lists this long non-coding RNA (220 nucleotides) under Homo sapiens (human). Its description in RNAcentral is "HSALNT0389126". The record is from RNAcentral. Lineage: Eukaryota; Metazoa; Chordata; Mammalia; Primates; Hominidae.